AAGCAAAACCCUAUCAUCAUAUCGCACUCGAUAACUCCCAGCUCCCACUAAACCAGAGCUUAAAAGGAAAUCGUCGAACCCUAAUUUGAGAUCCCUAUUCAACCAAAUUUAAAAAAAAACAAAUGAUAUCGCACUCGAUUAUUCCCAACUACCACUAAAUCGGGGCUUAAAAGGAAAUUGACGAACCCUAAUUCGACAUCCCAACGAUCACAAAAAGGCAACAAAGGGGCCAAAAAAAAAAAAGGGAUUCCAAGCAAACCCAACCCACCUCGUACAAGCUCUUCCCUUCAACCAAAAUAAAAAAAAAAAGCAUAUCGCACUCGAUUAUUCCGAACCCUAAUUCGAGAUCCAACGAUCCCAAAAUGGCAAAAAGCGGGCAAAAUAUUGGAUUCGAAGCAAACUCACCUCGUACAAGCUCUUCCCCUCGGCGUCGCCGCCGAGGGCGGCUGCGGAGGGGAUCUCUCCGGCGCCGCCUUCGUCCUCGGCAUCGGCAUCGGCGUCGCAAACCCUAGUUUUCUUUUUUCGCCCCAUUUUCGCCAAUAAUAAAUAGAAUAUAUUAUAAUAAAUCCAUCUAUGUAUUGUAUUGUAUAUAAUGAAUUCCCAGUCCACAGUGACGUGGCCGAGAGGGGAGUGGGGUGGGGCCCAGCCCCCAGGGAUGGGCCCUUUUUUAUUUUAUUUUAUUU
This 683-nucleotide long non-coding RNA is filed under the name Ananas comosus (pineapple). RNAcentral describes it as "long non-coding RNA (ACOM_LNC000877)". The record is from RNAcentral. Lineage: Eukaryota; Viridiplantae; Streptophyta; Magnoliopsida; Poales; Bromeliaceae.